Long non-coding RNA from Erigeron canadensis, 844 nucleotides. RefSeq lists it as uncharacterized. NCBI's taxonomy places the organism in Eukaryota, Viridiplantae, Streptophyta, Magnoliopsida, Asterales, Asteraceae. The transcript is spliced from 2 exons. The record is from RefSeq and is a predicted model, not a curated record.
AGUUUAUAUAGUUUUCUUUCUUCAGCAGAAGAGGGCCGAAACAUGAAGUAAUUAAUCUUUCUGAAGCGAAUAUCACUCGCGAUAAUGAAGCUGUUGUCGCAAGAAAGAGAUUAGGCUCAAGCUCAAGCCUAAUUAAGACCCAUUAGGAUUGGUUACAAGCAUGGAUAAGACUGAUGGUCCCAAUUUUGUUUCGAUAUCAUUACAAAAGCAUAAUUAUGGCUAGGACUAUGCAAAAUCUAAGUCUGAAGAGAUCUCAAAGAUGAAAAGAUCUUAUGAACAAUUUAAGGAACAAUUGGGUCAACAAUUAUUUGUGUCUCAGUGUACCAAAGUGAACAUGUGGGCUAUAGCAAUCAACAUAUGUUAGAAAGCAGCAUACACCACUAAAAUGUGAUAAUUAGUGGAUCAGUGUUAAUGAACAUCUUAUCUAACUUAAUGGAGUAGUUAUGUUGAAGCAAGUUUGAUUAUAAUGCUGAAUAGUUAUUUCACGAACCAUAACUUACAAAGUAUUGAUAGUCUGACAUUUAAACGAUCACCUAAAGACUUCUGCGAAUUUCUAUCACUGUUGAGGUCUUGAACAUAUAGUUUGGUGCAUGCUUCUACGUUUCUUCUGUUCGGCUUCUGGGGCGCCUUCCCCCGGUCUGUUAUGUUGGUGGUGUUGGUAAACAUAAUUCGCUAAAUUAUGGUGAAGUUUAUUUUUACUGUUCUCCUUUGUUUUCUUUAUCCAAAUGUAUUUUAGUUUUUGCUUGGGGUGGGUAUCUCUUUCUGGUCAAUCAUGUCUGUACAGGGGAGUGAUAUGCUUAGUCAUUUUGUAUAUAUAACUGCACCAACAAUAUUAUUGUACUUA